Molecule: microRNA, 23 nt
Filed under: Chlamydomonas reinhardtii
Lineage: Eukaryota; Viridiplantae; Chlorophyta; Chlorophyceae; Chlamydomonadales; Chlamydomonadaceae
Description: cre-miR1171
Source: miRBase by way of RNAcentral
UGGAGUGGAGUGGAGUGGAGUGG